GCCUAUGGUAACAUCUCCGUUUUCAGAAGCUCAGAAAAGUAAGCUGCUUGCUCAAGAAUGGACGGCUUCAAGGUGGCAGAGCUGGAAGUUUCUAACUCACUCACCUCAUACUCAGACCUGCACUGUUUUUCAAGACAGUCAAUAUUUCAGGCCAUCUACUGAUUGGAUGAGGCCCACCAGCAUUCUGAAAGACAAGGAAUCUGAGACCUGGCUGGGAGAAGAGGACUUGCCUAAAGUUAUCCCACACAGCAAAUUAGUUGGAAAACCAGGAUAGUUGAGUAAAUAUCCUGGAGCCCAGCCAAGUAAUGAAGCCAGAAUUCAGAAAGCUGUUUUGGCUAGAUCUUGGAUUUUUACAAUAAAGGGUCUGUAAGGGAUAUUUGUGAAAAAUGUUGACACUUGACGGCUGUCCUGAUUCAUUCAGCUACCUAGGUUAUCUCUGCCUCUCUUUGACUUGUGUUUUGUCUUUUAAGAUGGCAGUCUUGCUCUUUUGCCUGGGCUGGUCUUGAACUCCUGGGCUCAAGCAGUUUUCCUGCUUUAGCCUCCUGAGUAGCUGGGGCUACAGGAGGACAUCACUGUGCCCAGCUCUCUCCGUAUCUUUGACUAGGUUAUUUUACAACCCCAUACGAUAGAAAUGAAGUUAUAGAAAACUGAUAGGAAUACAAAUAAUUAUUAUCCAUGGAAAUGCAAAUUGGAUCUAAUGGAAUGAAACUGAUUUUUUUUCCAGCAGAUAGUGACCACCUUUGUAUCCUUUUGUAAAUUCAUUUCAGCAUUCCAUAUUUGACUAAAAAUGUGUGACACUCCCAAUUUGCUUUUGAAUUCAUUGUAAUAUCUACCAAUUCCCUCAUUAAUUAAUGAGUUAAAUAAAGCCUUUGGC
This 874-nucleotide long non-coding RNA is filed under the name Homo sapiens (human). RNAcentral's name for it is "long non-coding RNA NONHSAT195098.1". Lineage: Eukaryota; Metazoa; Chordata; Mammalia; Primates; Hominidae. The record is from RNAcentral.